UAGAGAGCCAUGACGUCAGUGCAGUCGAAGAUCCAAAGCGAGUAGACGUGCAUGUAGCCUGUCACCAGCCACGGCAUGCAGAAGAGGCAGCACCGGGUGGAGAGAGGGAAAGGGAGUGGUGAGCUGGGGGAAUGAGUUAUUUGAGAACGGCCUUCUGGCUGGUGAGAAGCAAUGACAGAAGAGGGAGUGUGAUGAAUACCCAGCAUCACGACUCUCAAGGGAGGUUAUCC
Molecule: long non-coding RNA, 230 nt
Organism: Scylla paramamosain (green mud crab)
Lineage: Eukaryota; Metazoa; Arthropoda; Malacostraca; Decapoda; Portunidae
Exons: 3
Source: RefSeq, a predicted model, not a curated record